RNAcentral lists this ribosomal RNA (460 nucleotides) under uncultured bacterium. Its description in RNAcentral is "partial 16S ribosomal RNA". It matches the Rfam family "Bacterial small subunit ribosomal RNA", at positions 338 to 795 of the family's 1533-position model. The record is from RNAcentral.
CCUACGGGAGGCAGCAGUGAGGAAUAUUGGUCAAUGGACGAAAGUCUGAACCAGCCAAGUAGCGUGAAGGAUGACUGCCCUAUGGGUUGUAAACUUCUUUUAUAUGGGAAUAAAACAGGGUAUGCAUACCCUCUUGUAUGUACCCUAUGAAUAAGGACCGGCUAACUCCGUGCCAGCAGCCGCGGUAAUACGGAGGAUCCGGGCGUUAUCCGGAUUUAUUGGGUUUAAAGGGAGCGUAGGUGGAUUUUUAAGUCAGUUGUGAAAGUUUGCGGCUCAACCGUGCAAUUGCAGGUGAAACUGGCAGGCUUGAGUGCGGUAGAGGUGGGCGGAAUUCGUGGUGUAGCGGUGAAAUGCUUAGAUAUCACGAAGAACUCCGAUUGCGAAGGCAGCUUACUGGACUGCAACUGACGCUGAUGCUCGAAAGUGUGGGUAUCGAACAGGAUUAGAUACCCUAGUAGUA